Molecule: ribosomal RNA, 1084 nt
Filed under: uncultured bacterium
Lineage: Bacteria
Description: bacterial SSU rRNA
Rfam family: Bacterial small subunit ribosomal RNA
Source: RNAcentral
GUCGAGCGGUACAGAAAGUAGCUUGCUACUUUGCUGACGAGCGGCGGGCACGGUGUGAGUAAUGCUUGGGAACAUGCCUUGAGGUGGGGGACAACAGUUGGAAACGACUGCUAAUACCGCAUAAUGUCUACGGACCAAAGGGGGCUUCGGCUCUCGCCUUUAGAUUGGCCCAAGUGGGAUUAGCUAGUUGGUGAGGUAAUGGCUCACCAAGGCAACGAUCCCUAGCUGGUUUGAGAGGAUGAUCAGCCACACUGGAACUGAGACACGGUCCAGACUCCUACGGGAGGCAGCAGUGGGGAAUAUUGCACAAUGGGCGAAAGCCUGAUGCAGCCAUGCCGCGUGUGUGAAGAAGGCCUUCGGGUUGUAAAGCACUUUCAGUCAGGAGGAAAGGGUGUGAGUUAAUACCUCAUAUCUGUGACGUUACUGACAGAAGAAGCACCGGCUAACUCCGUGCCAGCAGCCGCGGUAAUACGGAGGGUGCGAGCGUUAAUCGGAAUUACUGGGCGUAAAGCGUACGCAGGCGGUUUGUUAAGCGAGAUGUGAAAGCCCCGGGCUCAACCUGGGAACUGCAUUUCGAACUGGCAAACUAGAGUGUGAUAGAGGGUGGUAGAAUUUCAGGUGUAGCGGUGAAAUGCGUAGAGAUCUGAAGGAAUACCGAUGGCGAAGGCAGCCACCUGGGUCAACACUGACGCUCAUGUACGAAAGCGUGGGGAGCAAACGGGAUUAGAUACCCCGGUAGUCCACGCCGUAAACGAUGUCUACUAGAAGCUCGGAACCUCGGUUCUGUUUUUCAAAGCUAACGCAUUAAGUAGACCGCCUGGGGAGUACGGCCGCAAGGUUAAAACUCAAAUGAAUUGACGGGGGCCCGCACAAGCGGUGGAACAUGUGGUUUAAUUCGAUGCAACGCGAAGAACCUUACCUACACUUGACAUACAGAGAACUUUCUAGAGAUAGAUUGGUGCCUUCGGGAACUCUGAUACAGGUGCUGCAUGGCUGUCGUCAGCUCGUGUUGUGAGAUGUUGGGUUAAGUCCCGCAACGAGCGCAACCUCUAUCCUUAGUUGCUAGCAGGUAAUGCUGAGAACU